AGCUUCCGCCUGCUACGGUCCUGGCAAGCACCUCGGGAUCCCAUUCCUUCACAGGGACCCUAGCCAGUUAAAGCUGAUACAUUCCUGUGGGUCAACUAUGCAACUAACUCAGAUUUUGAGCAAACAAAGCUCUCAAGUUGGUGAUCCUCAGGAGUCUCUGCAUUAGUUGGACAGCUCUUCUGGAAUUAUCUUCUAAGUCAACUGUGGGUUGGGUAGGUGGCUCUGCUGAUUUUUCGCUGGACUUCCACAUUUGGGACGAGUUGGCUGUCAUCAGCUCUAGAAAGGGUGUGGCCGUUUUACAUUGGCUGUUUUCCUCACAUUCCUCAAGCAGGUAAGCUUAAUCAUGUUCUCAUAUUGAAGCAGAAACUGUUUACUCAUUUAUCUAUUUACUUACUGGGUCUCCUGGGCACUAGGUACUGUAAUAAAGAACUGGAGAAAUACAGUCAGAUGGGAAGUAGCCCUUGCUGUCAAGGAGCUUGCCAUCUAAUGGGGGAGACAGGCAAGUAAACCAAAGACUACACAGUGCAGUAUGGUAAGUGCCAUGAUUUUGAUGUGACAGGGCACAGUGGACGACCUUCCAAAUCAAAGCAAGUAACUAGGGGUUGACAAUGGUAAGUAUCAUAGUUGAAGUAUCCUUGAACAAGGUUUCAGGAAGAAGAAGAAGGGAAUUUCAUGCAGGGAAACAGCCAAAGCUCAGUGAGUCAAAAUAUCACAGCAUUCUUGGUAAGCCCAAUUGUUUUUUCUGUUUUG
RNAcentral lists this long non-coding RNA (750 nucleotides) under Homo sapiens (human). RNAcentral describes it as "non-protein coding CCDC18-AS1:59". Lineage: Eukaryota; Metazoa; Chordata; Mammalia; Primates; Hominidae. The record is from RNAcentral.